AGGAGUCUUUUUUCAAUUUUCCUUACCCCAAGUGAAGGAAGAAUCAAGCCUCAUAAGCUGUUGAAGUGCUAUGGGUCAAUGGAGUAAUUCUGGAUUUACACAGCUGAAAAUGGAAUUGAAUUUGGCUGAUACAUUUGUUUAUUGCAAAGGUGUCGACACCAUCCUAUCUUCAUAGAAGUUUCUCUUCCCACUCUUAUAGGACUUCCAACAAAAACCAUUGAAUUCACUGAAAAAGAAAACCUCCUGUCUUCAAUAAUCUUUGUAUCAGAUUCAUGGAAUACAGCUAUCACAAAAUUUUACUGUUCAGAGUAAUACAAUUUACAUCAUGACAGGAUACAGAUAAAAACUAGUAGAAAUUAUGUUUCCAUUUUGCUGCAUGGUAAUU
Non-coding RNA from Pelodiscus sinensis (Chinese soft-shelled turtle), 385 nucleotides. The record is from RefSeq and is a predicted model, not a curated record. NCBI's taxonomy places the organism in Eukaryota, Metazoa, Chordata, Testudines, Trionychidae.